GCACAGAGUUAGCCGGUGCUUAUUCUGUCGGUAACGUCAAAACACCAACGUAUUAGGUUAAUGCCCUUCCUCCCAACUUAAAGUGCUUUACAAUCCGAAGACCUUCUUCACACACGCGGCAUGGCUGGAUCAGGCUUUCGCCCAUUGUCCAAUAUUCCCCA
This 161-nucleotide ribosomal RNA is filed under the name uncultured bacterium. Its description in RNAcentral is "partial 16S ribosomal RNA". The record is from RNAcentral.